Non-coding RNA from Meleagris gallopavo (turkey), 345 nucleotides. The record is from RefSeq and is a predicted model, not a curated record. Lineage: Eukaryota; Metazoa; Chordata; Aves; Galliformes; Phasianidae.
AGCUAGGCUAAAUCCUAGAAUUUUGAAUUUCUGUAGCAAAUUCAUCACUAAAAAUACCUUUUUCUCGUUACAGGUGAAGAAGCUUGGUAUUGUUGCAGUGAGCAAUGCUUUGCUACAAGACAUUACUUGUUUGGCAGCAGACCGAAUGUUGAUAUUUGCUUCGUAUGGCAAUGUUUUCCAUGCUAUUGCCAGGAACAAAGAGGUAGUACAUACCUAUGAAGGUCACAAGGCAAGAAUACACCUUCUGCAGCCUUUUGGUGAUCAUGUUAUCUCUGUGGAUGUUGCUAAUGUUCUUAUUGUUUGGGAUGUACAAACAGAAGGUGAGAGACAAUUUUUAUUAUUGUU